AUCCAGCUGACGAGUCCCAAAUAGGACGAAAAGCACAUGUUGGGU
This 45-nucleotide non-coding RNA is filed under the name Schistosoma mattheei. The record is from RNAcentral. Lineage: Eukaryota; Metazoa; Platyhelminthes; Trematoda; Strigeidida; Schistosomatidae.